RNAcentral lists this ribosomal RNA (465 nucleotides) under Vreelandella stevensii. RNAcentral's name for it is "partial 16S ribosomal RNA". It matches the Rfam family "Bacterial small subunit ribosomal RNA", at positions 338 to 795 of the family's 1533-position model. The record is from RNAcentral. Lineage: Bacteria; Pseudomonadati; Pseudomonadota; Gammaproteobacteria; Oceanospirillales; Halomonadaceae.
CCUACGGGUGGCAGCAGUGGGGAAUAUUGGACAAUGGGGGCAACCCUGAUCCAGCCAUGCCGCGUGUGUGAAGAAGGCCCUCGGGUUGUAAAGCACUUUCAGUGAGGAAGAACGCCUGGUGGUUAAUACCCAUCAGGAAAGACAUCACUCACAGAAGAAGCACCGGCUAACUCCGUGCCAGCAGCCGCGGUAAUACGGAGGGUGCGAGCGUUAAUCGGAAUUACUGGGCGUAAAGCGCGCGUAGGUGGCUUGAUAAGCCGGUUGUGAAAGCCCCGGGCUCAACCUGGGAACGGCAUCCGGAACUGUCAAGCUAGAGUGCAGGAGAGGAAGGUAGAAUUCCUGGUGUAGCGGUGAAAUGCGUAGAGAUCGGGAGGAAUACCAGUGGCGAAGGCGGCCUUCUGGACUGACACUGACACUGAGGUGCGAAAGCGUGGGUAGCAAACAGGAUUAGAUACCCCUGUAGUC